Molecule: ribosomal RNA, 534 nt
Filed under: uncultured bacterium
Lineage: Bacteria
Description: bacterial SSU rRNA
Rfam family: Bacterial small subunit ribosomal RNA
Source: RNAcentral
CGUUGUCCGGAUUAUUGGGCGUAAAGAGCUUGUAGGCGGUUUGUCGCGUCUGCUGUGAAAGGCCGGGGCUUAACUCCGUGUAUUGCAGUGGGUACGGGCAGACUAGAGUGCAGUAGGGGAGACUGGAAUUCCUGGUGUAGCGGUGGAAUGCGCGGAUAUCAGGAGGAACACCGAUGGCGAAGGCAGGUCUCUGGGCUGUAACUGACGCUGAGAAGCGAAAGCAUGGGGAGCGAACAGGAUUAGAUACCCUGGUAGUCCAUGCCGUAAACGUUGGGCACUAGGUGUGGGGGACAUUCCACGUUUUCCGCGCCGUAGCUAACGCAUUAAGUGCCCCGCCUGGGGAGUACGGCCGCAAGGCUAAAACUCAAAGAAAUUGACGGGGGCCCGCACAAGCGGCGGAGCAUGCGGAUUAAUUCGAUGCAACGCGAAGAACCUUACCAAGGCUUGACAUAUACUGGACCGCAUCAGAGAUGGUGUUUCCCUUCGGGGCUGGUAUACAGGUGGUGCAUGGUUGUCGUCAGCUCGUGUCGUGAG